This 630-nucleotide ribosomal RNA is filed under the name Paulisebacina allantoidea. Its description in RNAcentral is "eukaryotic LSU rRNA". It matches the Rfam family "Eukaryotic large subunit ribosomal RNA", at positions 43 to 656 of the family's 3401-position model. The record is from RNAcentral. Lineage: Eukaryota; Fungi; Basidiomycota; Agaricomycetes; Sebacinales; Sebacinaceae.
UCAAUAAGCGGAGGAAAAGAAACUAACAAGGAUUCCCCUAGUAACGGCGAGUGAAGAGGGAAGAGCUCAAAUUUUAAAUCUGGCGCCUUCGGUGUCCGAGUUGUAAUCUAUAGAAGUGUUUUCCGCRGUGGACCGUGUACAAGUUUCCUGGAACGGUACGUCAUAGAGGGUGAGAAUCCCGUAUGUGGCACGGACUCCCAUUGCUAUGUGAUACACUCUCAACGAGUCGAGUUGUUUGGGAAUGCAGCUCAAAGUGGGUGGUAAAUUCCAUCUAAAGCUAAAUAUUGGCGAGAGACCGAUAGCGAACAAGUACCGUGAGGGAAAGAUGAAAAGCACUUUGGAAAGAGAGUGAAACAGUACGUGAAAUUGUUAAAAGGGAAACGCUUGAAGUCAGUCGCGCCUCUUGGGAUUCAGCCUUACUUCUGUUUGGUGUAUUUCCUGUUGGGCGGGUCAACGUCAGUUUCGAUCGAGGGAAAAAGGGGUUAGAAAUGUGGCCGUCUUCGGGUGGUGUUAUAGUCUUUCCUUGUAUGCCUCGGUUUGGGACUGAGGACCGCAGCGCGCCUUUUGGCCGGGGUUCGCCCACGUACGCGCUUAGGAUGUKGGCAUAAUGGCUUUAAGCGACCCGUCUUG